GUCUGCGUAGCCCAAUCGGUAGAGGCAAAGGACUUAAAAUCCUUCCAGUGUGGGUUCGAGUCCCACCGCAGACACCA
RNAcentral lists this transfer RNA (77 nucleotides) under Magnetococcales bacterium. RNAcentral's name for it is "tRNA-Leu". It matches the Rfam family "tRNA". Rfam says of the family: Transfer RNA (tRNA) molecules are approximately 80 nucleotides in length. Their secondary structure includes four short double-helical elements and three loops (D, anti-codon, and T loops). Further hydrogen bonds mediate the characteristic L-shaped molecular structure. tRNAs have two regions of fundamental functional importance: the anti-codon, which is responsible for specific mRNA codon recognition, and the 3' end, to which the tRNAs corresponding amino acid is attached (by aminoacyl-tRNA synthetases). tRNAs cope with the degeneracy of the genetic code in two manners: having more than one tRNA (with a specific anti-codon) for a particular amino acid; and 'wobble' base-pairing, i.e. permitting non-standard base-pairing at the 3rd anti-codon position. The record is from RNAcentral. Lineage: Bacteria; Pseudomonadati; Pseudomonadota; Magnetococcia; Magnetococcales.